RNAcentral lists this small RNA (222 nucleotides) under Pseudomonas sp. SJZ079. RNAcentral describes it as "Pseudomonas sRNA P29". Lineage: Bacteria; Pseudomonadati; Pseudomonadota; Gammaproteobacteria; Pseudomonadales; Pseudomonadaceae. The record is from RNAcentral.
AAGCUACUGGGGGAGCCUAAGCUCCCCCCCAAGUAGGUGCGUGCUUUGUUUUUAUUAUUAUGGCGGGCUUGUUGUUUUUGUUGGUUUACCCGUUCCAUUAAGUCAGAGACUCUAGGAAAACCUCCCAAGCUGGGAGUUAGUAGCAAACGGAUUGCUUUGGAUGCUGACGCUACCAUGGUCGCGUGGCGACCUAACCAGUACAGGCACUGCCUUCGAGCAGUU